AGGGUUUUGCGAAGAGGAGGCUUUCAUGGAGAAGAAAGAGGUGGAAAAUGGUGGGGGUGGGGUUCUGAAAGAGAGACAAGAAAUGGGUUUAGCAUAAAUUGGACGAUUAAAAUGGUGAUUGAAUUGUUUGUGAAUUUGGUUUGUUUUGGAACAGACAGGGUUUAAGGUUGUCAUGUCGUUUAUGAGGUUUGUGAAGAAGAGUGUAAGAAAAAGGUCUUAAACCCUAACGAUAAU
Molecule: long non-coding RNA, 234 nt
Filed under: Nicotiana tabacum (common tobacco)
Lineage: Eukaryota; Viridiplantae; Streptophyta; Magnoliopsida; Solanales; Solanaceae
Description: long non-coding RNA (NTAB_LNC007261)
Source: RNAcentral